GGGACGGUGGCAGAACCUGCGGGCUAGGUGGGAGGCUCACCCUCGGGGAGGAAGGGAAGCAAGGAGCGCCGCCGCGGAGGAGCGAGGAGCCGCUGGGAGGCCGGGGGUCGGGCCGCCGCCGCCUCCUCCUGCAGCCGAGACAGCGCAGCCGGCGGGCGCACCAGCCGCAACGGCUACCCUGCGCGCAGGGAGGCGGAGGAGGAGAGUGGCUCAAGGAGACUUCAUUUUCCUGGAUUUGCUGCAGUUCCUUAAACCCAACCAGGCUUUCGGGGCGUUAAAGUAAAUUACUGGUGGCAGUGUAGAAGCCAAGACGGGAGCUUCCAGAAGUGGUUUCCGAAAAAUAAGAGUGAAUAUACCGGAGUAAGCAAGCACAGGGGUCUGAAAAACCACAGGGCUGAAUAAUAUUUCAUCGCACGUAGACACCACAUCUUCUUCAUCCACUUACCUGUGGAAGUCGUGUGUCUUUUUUGUAAAGUGUUCUGAUGCAAGCUCUUCUUGGAAGUUAAAGCAACCUAACCACAGAGGACCUCGAGGACUCAAAUCCCAGUCACGUGUGGUGGAGAAACCGAGUCACAAAACGUUGCAGCAUCCUUGGAGUUCUAGAAAGAACUAAAAUAGCAUAUGGCUAAUUUAGGACGGAAAGAUGGGAACAACUUCUCCUUGAUUGGUGCUCUCUUGAAGAGAAAUCCUUUUGCUCAUCUCGGAAUGAAAUGCAGAUAACUCUUUAGAAAACUUUUCGUAGGAAAAAAAGCGCCUCGUGUGAUCUGGAACAAAGACAUUUUAUAAUCAGAUUUAUCAAGCUGUGAAGAGGGCGUUUUAGCCAACGGAAGCAGCGGCAUUCUGUCACCGGGAAAUACUGCUUUAUCCAGAAUUGAGCCCUUUACCAGGAGGCUGCGGAUCCUCCGGCUGCUGGAUGUCGUCCUGAGUGCAGCGAUUGGAGAGUCCUCAGUAAUGCAAGCUUUACCUUGAUUUACACAGAACACACACCCACCCAGAGUUAAGUUCUGGGGUGAUGAGUCUUCUGUUAUUAGAUGGAGUGGGGGACCGUCAAGGUCUUGUGAAUAACGAGAUGUAUUUGAUUUCAACACCACAAAUGGAAGGAAUCUGUAUUAUUUUAUCCAUGGAUUGUUUGUCUCUUUUUUUUUUUCCCUCUCUCUGCCCCCUGUGGAAGGUAUCAUUUGGUCACAAAACUAUCCUCCUGUCUGUCUGUCUGUCUGUCUAUUUAUCUGUCGAUCUAUAAAUCAAGCAUUUGGUUACAAAACUAUCUACAUUUAUCUAUCUAUCUAUCAAUCAUCUACCUACCUACCUACCUGUCUUAUAUGUCCAUCUAUCUUAUCCAUCUAUCCAUCCAUCCAUCCAUUUAUUCUCUUCAUUUCUUGACUUUUAAAUGGGCAUUCUCAAAAUAACGUGGUGAUUUCAGUUUAAGGACAUUUCACUUGUCGUAAAUACAUCCCAGCAGUGCAUUGUGACUUGUGCUUGUCCUUUCCCCAUGGUAGAGAAUUUGAAAGCCAGAAAUCUCAAAUGCAAGCAGGCAAGUGAUGUGGAAAUCAUAUGUGGGAAGACUGGACAGGCCCGACGUCCAGGUCUGGGGCAUGAACCUGGCAUACAAUGUAGAUUUCUGUGUUUGAUGGGCAACAGCUACAUUGUCUGCUGGGUUUCAGGCUACCUGGAAACAUGUGCUUCAUGGCGGUUUCAUCAAUGCUUCACCUGUACUGUUUUGGAAUAACUUUUCUAGGAGGCAUAAUGAUCCGUGUGCUCUAUCAUUGGACAAAAUGCAGAGAAAGAACCCCAGGAGGGCUGAUCACCAUAGCAAACACUGAUUUUAUUAUGAUUUUACCCAAGAUGGUCAAAUAUCAGCCCAGGAAACUCAAUGAAUUGGACCCAAGGUGUAAUGCUGUCUUUCCUUCUCUCUGCCUCAGCUCUCAAGGAUGGGUCACUCACAUGUUGUUAUUAAUUAUUGUUUGGGUUUCUGUCCAUAUUUCCUAUGGGCCUAACCACAAUGCCCGGCUCCCUCACCAUCCAUUCCUCCUCGUUUUGGCUUCUUGCCCACCUACGGGGGCCUGGUUUAUUUUUGUUCUGUCUUCACCACAGACAGCCCCAUCAUUUUUGUGAGUGAUUCUCAGUCUCACCAAAAUCCAUCUCUCACUCUGCCCAGCAUCGAAUCCCAUCAUUUGCUCCCUGAAGUGAACUCUAGAAUUGAGGGAAACUGGAUUUUUCUUUCUUUUUUUUUUUUUUUUAUUUUACCACUGUUCCCCAUCUCUUACGAGACCAGAAGUAAAGUAGCUUUCUUAUAGAAUGACAGAGAACUUGUGAAGAGAAACCACCAGUCUGCAGGAGUAAAGGAAGAAAAGAAUGAUGGAAAAUCAGUUUACAUCUCUAAACACUAAAAAGAAAAAAAAAAGAAAGAAAAAAUCAAGCUAAACCCUCAAUUUUUUAAUAAUAAAAAGAAUAUGACUUUUAAAAGAGAAGUUAUAAACCCUUGGUUGUAUGAACUGGAGACUUUUCAGUAAGAAAUCAUGUCUUUUACAUGAAUAUGAAUUAACAGAUUUAAAGUUGAAAAUGAAUGUAAGGAACGCAAGCAAAGUCUGCAUGUAAUAGCCGAUGGUAAUGAUAUAAUGUAUUUUGUCACUCCCUGCUGAAUUCAAUAAAAAUAAAGCUAAUGACUUGGAGCUUUUAAAA
This is a long non-coding RNA of Camelus dromedarius (Arabian camel), 2679 nucleotides long. RefSeq lists it as uncharacterized. The record is from RefSeq and is a predicted model, not a curated record. Lineage: Eukaryota; Metazoa; Chordata; Mammalia; Artiodactyla; Camelidae. The transcript has 8 exons.